This 244-nucleotide ribosomal RNA is filed under the name uncultured bacterium. RNAcentral's name for it is "partial 16S ribosomal RNA". It matches the Rfam family "Bacterial small subunit ribosomal RNA", at positions 671 to 914 of the family's 1533-position model. The record is from RNAcentral.
AUGUGUAGCGGUGAAAUGCGCAGAGAUAUGGAGGAACACCAGUGGCGAAGGCGGCUCUCUGGUCUGUUACUGACGCUGAGGUGCGAAAGCGUGGGGAUCAAACAGGAUUAGAUACCCUGGUAGUCCACGCUGUAAACGUUGGGCACUAGGUGUGGGGCCACCCGUGGUUCCCGCGCCGUAGCUAACGCUUUAAGUGCCCCGCCUGGGGAGUACGGCCGCAAGGCUAAAACUCAAAGGAAUUGAC